Long non-coding RNA from Panicum virgatum (switchgrass), 2551 nucleotides. RefSeq lists it as uncharacterized. The record is from RefSeq and is a predicted model, not a curated record. The transcript is spliced from 2 exons. Lineage: Eukaryota; Viridiplantae; Streptophyta; Magnoliopsida; Poales; Poaceae.
UUUCUUAAUGUCACGGCCCAAAACUAUAUUAAAAAUCGUGCGGUCGGAUUUGGAGGUACUCGGAGGAUUUUUUGCGCAUGAAAUAAUAGGUUAAGGAGGCGUUUAAAGGCUAAACCGUAGUUAGGGUGAGUCAUAAAUAGAAUGAGUGGAUAGUAUAUGAUUUUAGAAGAAUUUAGGAAAAAGAAUUAUCAACAACGGAGUUUAGAUGGAGAAGUUAUGGUUGUGUAGGGAUUGACAGCUAAUAAAAAUUCAGAAAAUGAGUUGACAUAAACGUGUGGAAGUUUCACGAGCUUUUGGAUUUCUCAUGAUCGAUCUAGAUGGGUUUUGGGCCUUUUGAUUAGUACGUGGGCUGAUGAUUCUUGGUUGGGCUGGUGGAGGAAAUAACAACAGAGAAGGGGGGGAGAGACACGGACAGAGGAACAGAGCAGGGGUUCGUGCUCCCCCGCUCGUCCGCCAUGGGAGACGCCGAAGCUCUCUGGAGCUUCGCCGUACGGCGAUUCCGGCCACCAAUCCCAAAUCCAAGGGCAUGGGAAGAAAGAGGAGGGAAAGGGGAUUCCGUUCAGGUGGCUCCGGUCGUAGGAGAAGGGGUCGAAGGUGGCCCUCCCCGAGCAGCUACGGCCGCGGCCAUGGGAGCUCGUGGGGAGCUCACUGGUGCCAUGGAGAGGGAAAGGCGCGGCUUGGGGCAGGUUGAGGAGAAUUUGGGGGUGCUCACCUCGAGCGGAAUCGGACCGAGAUGGCCCAGGCCAGGAGAUCGACGGGGGUGCUAUGUUUUUGGGAAGAAACAGAGAAGCGGGGAAUUGGAGCAGCGAGGAAGACGAGCAGCGGGCUGCGCAGCUUGGUGAGCUCGGUGGUGGCAUGGAGCUGCACGAGGGCCUAUUUAUAGGCGCUGAAAGGCGGUGGAGGGAAGGUGGCAGCGGUGACUGGUCGGCCGGCGGGCUUGCAGCUCGCCUUCAAUGGCGUGGGGGCGGGUUUGGACGUCGUGGAGUGGCUCGGAGCGGCGGCGCGAGCGGCGAGGCGGGAUUGGACACGUCGGGCAGGCUGCGAGCGGCGCAGGCGGUGCUGUGUGGGUGUCAACGGUGAGCGGUGGCGACGUGACGCCUCGGGCAGGCGGUGCUGUGCCGAGGUCGCCGGUGCUGUGCGCGCACAGGGCGCGUGCGGCGAGGGCGGGCGACUUGGCACGGCUGUGCGAGCGGACGGCCCGGUGCUACAGCUCGCGCGGCUCGUCGCGGCGUGACAAGCGCGUGCGCAGCAGAGCAGCGGCGUGCCGCGCGGCGGCCGCGAGCGGCACGCCGUUGCGGUGUGCGCGGCGAGCGCGCGCGGGGCCAGGUUGUGAGCGAGCGGGCGGCUGGUGUGCGAGCAGGGCGCGGGCACGCGGGCAGGGAGCGGCUCGGGUGCAGCAGGGGUAGGAGGUGCGGGCCGGGGUGGAGCACGGCGCGCGGGCGAGCGAGCCGAGGCCGGGCCCGCGCGCAUGUCUAGGCGGCAACGGCGGUGCAGAGCGCCAGCGGCGGCUUGGCACGGCGGGUGCGCGCGCGAGCGAGGCCGUGUCGUGGCGUGUGCGCGGGGUAAGUGGGCGUGCAGCGGGUCGGUGCCGUGCUCAGCGCAUCGCGGCGCGGCGUGUUGAGGCCGCGUGCGUGUUGUAGGGGUGCGUUGCCUGGCGUGCUUUAGUUGUUUGCUUGCCUGCGUGCUGGGUGCGUGUGCGUGGGUCAAGCAUGUGGGUGUUGCACGGUUGGGCUCAACAGGAAGAAGAAGGACUAGCAAGAAGGAAGCUAGUUGGCGUGAUCAUGGACUAGAGAAGAAAAUAAUUAGGUGAUACUUAGGCCAAGGAAGGAUUAGAGGCUCGAUCAGAAAGGGGUUUAGGAAUGACUUGAGCUCAACAAUAAGAAAUUUUUUGAAAGAAAUGUUUUGACGCGUGAUUUAAUUCGGUAAAUUUUUGGGAUGUUAUAGGGGAGUACCCUGCUACAAGCAUACAACAAUAUACACAGUUGCUUUAACUGAAAUUCUUUACUGUUCUUAUUACAUGCGCAACCAUAAUUACAUCUAAAAUUCUAGCAUUUUUUAGUCUUUUCUAAUUCUACUUACUUUGUCUACCUGAACUAAACUAGGAUCAGUGCAAUUUGCCGAUGGUGCAAAAUCAGAAAGAGUCAUGGCAAGCAUAUGGAUUUCUUCAUGCUGCAGGAAUAGCAACUUCUCUAACAAAUAAACACAAGCCAACAAUGAUUUCCCAAAUGGAUGGGCUCCAGUGCAGCAUCUCAUACCCGAUGGACUGUUGCCGAUCAGAAAAGGUGACAAAAUUAGCUGAGGACAAUGCUAUGAGAUGGGUGAGAACAAACUAUGCCUCCUACUCCAAAGCAACCAGCACGAUGCAUGAGAAGUAUGAUAUGGAGGCCUACGGAAAAUCUGGAGGUGGUGAUGAAUACAAGCCACAGGUACGGCAAAAUAGGUUCUUUGGUCCUUUCAUUGUUGAUGAUUAGCAGUUGAGAAUGUUUGGUAACUGGCAUCAUCAUAGAUAUUACACGUUGCUAAUAAUCUCUCAAGCAAUCUCCUUCACAUA